Molecule: unclassified non-coding RNA, 269 nt
Filed under: fungal sp.
Lineage: Eukaryota; Fungi
Description: partial internal transcribed spacer region
Rfam family: Eukaryotic small subunit ribosomal RNA (bases 1-46)
Source: RNAcentral
AAGUCGUAACAAGGUUUCCGUAGGUGAACCUGCGGAAGGAUCAUUAACGAAGUAGACCUGCUGUGAGCCAAUUCGCUGUUCAAAAUUGAAUCUCAGUCUUGAACAGCUCGAGUUCGGCUUACAGUAAGGCAACUUUCAACCACUUGUGAAUUUGUAACUUAUUUCUUACCAAUUGACUGUUAACGAAGACUGAUUCAAUUACCUGUUGGUGUUUAAAGACACUAAUAUAAUCAUUGAAACAACUUUUGGCAACGGAUCUCUUGGCUCUC